UACGUAGGGUGCGAGCGUUAACCGGAAUUACUGGGCGUAAAGCGCGCGCAGGCGGUCUGUUAAGUCCGAUGUGAAAUCCCCGGGCUUAACCUGGGAACUGCAUUGGUGACUGGCAGGCUUUGAGUGUGGCAGAGGGAGGUAGAAUUCCAGGUGUAGCAGUGAAAUGCGUAGAGAUGUGGAGGAAUACCAAUGGCGAAGGCAGCCUUCUGGCCAGAUACUGACGCUGAGGUGCGAAAGCAUGGGGAGCAAACAGG
RNAcentral lists this ribosomal RNA (254 nucleotides) under uncultured bacterium. RNAcentral's name for it is "partial 16S ribosomal RNA". It matches the Rfam family "Bacterial small subunit ribosomal RNA", at positions 524 to 776 of the family's 1533-position model. The record is from RNAcentral.